Long non-coding RNA from Brassica oleracea var. oleracea, 656 nucleotides. RefSeq lists it as uncharacterized. The transcript is spliced from 4 exons. NCBI's taxonomy places the organism in Eukaryota, Viridiplantae, Streptophyta, Magnoliopsida, Brassicales, Brassicaceae. The record is from RefSeq and is a predicted model, not a curated record.
AAUAUUAUAUUCCUAAUUUAUACCAAAACCCAACUCGCAAGGCAUAUCUUACUAACAAUCUUUUAAAUAAAAUCUUUAAUAUCUCUCUUUAUUCUCACCAAAUCUUUUCCUUUUGCUAUAUAUACUACCUAAUCAACCCAUUCAACCUAACACCUUGCGAAAAGAUUAGGCAUAGAAAAUGAAGCCUACACUGAAGUUAUCAUACAUGUCCGGCGUACCAAACUGAAACGUGGAUCCAAGUCAAAGUUUUUUCGCACCUGGAAACAAUAAAGUGAACAGUUCUGUCCGACAAUGGAAAUCAUUCUCUGACAAGAAGAUACACUAAAUACAACAAAAUAUCCAGUUUCAUAGAGGAGCAGACUUAACACAGAUUUGAAAGCAACUGAGCAAAUAAUACAGAGCAAAACAAUGUUACAAUCUGGUGUGAAGCAAAGCAGUCAUCUUUUAAGAAAAGAUGGUGCUAAGUCUACUCCUAAACUAAGGCAGACAGCAGUAACUAUAACUAAUAACUCCAACGUUACGAAUCCAUCCCAGGUUGGGUAUGUUUCAGAUAAUAACAUCUUCCUUGAAGUUCUAUCUGAAGGACAAGAUGAUCACUUUUAUGACUUAAGCAGUCAAGAAAGUGAUACAAUAUCAAAUGUUUCCUAUCAUGCUCA